UCGCAACUGCGCAUAUAGACUCAAGUCCCAAGAUGUCAGUGCCAUAUCGGGACACUGGCGGCUUCAGUUCUCACCAAUGGAAAAGAGCGAAGGUUAAAGGUCAGCUCCAGAUUGGUGAGGAAAUAAUCUGCGAACUCUGGAUACAUAUCCAAGACUUCUAGAAGUUCCUCUCUCUGGAUCGUGUGCAGGUCACAGUAGCUCAGCGCUCGCACAUCAGCGUUAGAUUUACCAGGCUUGGCGUACAGGUGGAUCAUCUCUCCAAAGAUGUCAUUCUUACCUGGGGAGUGAAGGAGACAGGCUCAGGUCCAUGAGUGUUGGAAAUACUCUUCCAGUCUCUGUCUGAGUGGAUUUGGGAUCUGGUGGAAACGGAUGAACUCUUUGACGCGGAGCAUCUGCAUGUGGUAGCGUGCCGUACCGGAAUACAGUCGCUGUAUGAUCGCAGAAACAUUUCCAAAAAUACUGGCGUACAUCAGAGCUGGAGAAGACAAGAGUAUUAGACGGUAACACAUGAAAGGAAUGUAUGGUAACACUUCAUUUUAAGGGUCCACAAUAAUGCACUAGUUAAGCAUGAGUCAGUAAUUAAUGCAUGACUGAAUGUAGAGUAAGGCUAUCUUAGCCAUAAUUUACAACUUCUUAAAUUUUUUAUUUUUGUGUAGAAAGAAAUGCAAUUAAUUCUCAGUUCCAUCCAUCCAUCCAUCCAUCCAUCCAUCCAUCCAUCCAUCCAUCCAUCACUUUUGCUGGGAGUAAUCACAGGAGGGAUGUAUCCAAGUGCAAGCUGAAGUUUAUUGAAGUGCAGAGGGGGGUGAACAAAGGACAGUGCAAAACUCACAUGUAAUUUAGGUGCAAAACACAAAAGAUCAAUCCAAAUGGGUAAAUCCAAACACAAGAGAUAAUCCAAAUACAGAAUGGAUAAUUCCAGAUCAAAGCAGGAACAGACAGAAGCAAACUUAUAUUGUUCGAUGCACACAAAAUAUUCAUUAACAACUGACAAUCAGACCUGAAAACAGGGCUCUUAAAUACAAGAAACACCUGGAACAGAUAAAUCAAACAGACCAAUGACAAAACAGAACUACAAUGGACUACAAACCCCAUAACUGAAUACAUAAAGGAACAAGGCAUAGAAUAAAAGGGAUGAUGACCUCUAGCGGCCGUCCAGAACAUAACACAGAUAUAGUCCAAGCUUCACCACCUUCACCAGUCAUCUGGAAUAUAUGAUGGUGCCCCCUCCCUAAGGAGCAGAUCAUAAAGCUCCUUAACACAAAACAGAGUCCCACAAAGACCGUAUUGGGGGGGGGGGGUCCAUCUUGGGAGGGGCAAAUCAGUCAGAUAGGCACAGGAGGGGGCAAAAGUCCAUGUGUGAAGAUGAGUAACAGUCCAGGGUGGAGCCAGCGGGAGAGCAGGGAACCAGGACAGAGCUGACGGACAGACAGGAUGCCAGUGUGGAUCAGGCGGACAGCCGGGAGACCAAGGAGACCUGAGCAGGUCAGGCAGAUGGCUAGGAGACCAAGACCGAUCAUGUAGAUGGGUGGGGGGGCACUGAACAGGGGUCAACAGUCUGGACGAUUGCCACUGAAAAGAAAUGAUACUGGACGUGGGUGGCUGCUGGACACUGAACAGGCUUAAUGAAUACUGAGAACUGAACAGGCUCGGGGAACUGGACUGGCUCAUCGACAGUCUUGGUGGUCAGGAGCGCUGGCAGUGACUGGGUGACAGGGCGGCAGCCUCCAUGGCCGUGGGCACUGGCAGUGACAGGGGAACGACCUAAGUGGGCUGUAAGCACAGGCAGCGACUGGGUAGUAGGAGCCCUUCUCCUCCUCCUCUUCCAGACGGCCGUGAGCACUGCUGUUGGAACGCCCUCCGUGGCCAAGGACACUGGUACUGGAAUGGACGAGGCUUCAGGUGCUGGUUCUGUCUGAUGUAUCUCAUCUCAUCCCUCUAUCCAUCCAUCCAUGUAAACACAAUCAUGCCAAUAAAGUACUUUUAAAUUGAAAUUGAAAAUAUAGAGAGAGAGAGAGAGAGAGAGAGAGAAGGUUGGCCAACUCCGUAGUCACACCGGCGGGAAAACAGUCGAAAAAUGACUUCACGAGUCCAAGUCAAGUUUCAAGUCAAUUGUUUGCGAGGUCGAGUCGCUAGUAAAUUAUUUUGCGACUUAAGAGCAACUCGAGUCCGAGUCACAGAUUUGAGUUUCAUCUCUGAUAUAUUGUGUGUAUAUAUAUAUAUAAUCACAAUGGAUCAGUGUUGGGUAAGUUACUAAAAAAUUUAAUCCACUACAAAUAACUAACUACUUCCCUAAACUUUAACGAUUACUUAAUUAAAAAAGUAAUCACAUUACUAAUGUCAUUACUUCAAAGUUACUUUCUAAAACAUAUUUUGUUUUUCUGCUGUCACAGAAACGCAAACAGAGGUACUUAUGAAUUCACAUUUUCAAUGUAUUACACAUAAAUAAUUAUUUAUUUGUAACCCAAGUAAUGUAUUUAACCCUGUAAGGGGAUUCAGAUGGGCAAGGAGGAGGCGAGAACCGGCUUGUCAGUAUAAAUAAUCUUUAAUUAAACUCAAAACAAAAAGCACAAACAUAAACACACACAUGACGGACAUGCCCGUCUCUCUCUCAAACCGCCGUCACCGGCAGCCUUUAUCCCUCGCGCGCCCUAUCAGGCCGAUUGGGGACCGGGCAUGCGACAUUCCAGCUCGGCCCCACCCCCCUCCGCUCCACAAACAGUAAUUACAUUCAUUGAAAAUCAGUAACUGUAAUCUAAUUACAAUAAUUUUAAAUGUAAUGUUUUACACAACAUUUUGUGCCUAAAAGUAAUUAGAUUACAGUAACUAAUUACUUUGUAAUCCAAUUACACCCAACACUGUACUUUAUGUGUAUAUAUACACUACAUAUAUAUAUAUAUAUAUAUAUAUUACAUAAGCUAUUUAUCUAAAUUUUAGACUAUUUAAAGGAAUCGUUCACCCAAAAUGAGAAUUUACCCUCAUUUUAUUCUAAUUUCCAUGGAGCAUAAAAGGGGAAAGUGUAAGCAUCUUUUAAUCAUCUUUUAAAGCACUGUUAUUGGAUUGAUGGACUACAUUUAUGGCUAGUUUUUAGUCCUUUUAGUAAGUCAUUGUAUGGAAAAGAGCUGUGUAUACAUUGAAAAUUACUCCUUUUGUGUUCCACAGCACAAAAUGACAGCAUUCAAAUUUGGAAUGUCAUUAGGGUGAGUAAAUAAUUACUGAAUUAUUAUUUUUUU
This is a long non-coding RNA of Xyrauchen texanus (razorback sucker), 3230 nucleotides long. RefSeq lists it as uncharacterized. NCBI's taxonomy places the organism in Eukaryota, Metazoa, Chordata, Actinopteri, Cypriniformes, Catostomidae. The transcript has 3 exons. The record is from RefSeq and is a predicted model, not a curated record.